AUUGAACGCUGGCGGCAGGCUUAACACAUGCAAGUCGGACGGUAACGGGAAGAAAGCUUGCUUUCUUUGCUGACGAGUGGCGGACGGGUGAGUAAUGCUUGGGAAUCUGUUUUAUGGAGGGGGAUAACUACGGGAAACUGUAGCUAAUACCGCGUAAUAUCGAGAGAUUAAAGUGUGGGACCGUAAGGCCACACGCCGUAGAGUGAGCCCAAGUGGGAUUAGGUAGUUGGUGGGGUAAAGGCCUACCAAGCCAUCGAUCUCUAGCUGGUCUGAGAGGAUGACCAGCCACACUGGGACUGAGACACGGCCCAGACUCCUACGGGAGGCAGCAGUGGGGAAUAUUGCACGAUGGGCGCAAGCCUGAUGCAGCCAUGCCGCGUGAAUGAAGAAGGCCUUCGGGUUGUAAAGUUCUUUCGGUGGUGAGGAAGGUUGGCGUGUUAAUAGCACGUUAAUUUGACGUUAGCCACAGAAGAAGCACCGGCUAACUCCGUGCCAGCAGCCGCGGUAAUACGGAGGGUGCGAGCGUUAAUCGGAAUAACUGGGCGUAAAGGGCACGCAGGCGGAUACUUAAGUGAGGUGUGAAAGCCCUGGGCUUAACCUAGGAAUUGCAUUUCAUACUGGGUAUCUAGAGUAUUUUAGGGAGGGGUAGAAUUCCACGUGUAGCGGUGAAAUGCGUAGAGAUGUGGAGGAAUACCGAAGGCGAAGGCAGCCCCUUGGGGGAAUACUGACGCUCAUGUGCGAAAGCGUGGGGAGCAAACAGG
This 761-nucleotide ribosomal RNA is filed under the name uncultured bacterium. Its description in RNAcentral is "bacterial SSU rRNA". It matches the Rfam family "Bacterial small subunit ribosomal RNA", at positions 28 to 776 of the family's 1533-position model. The record is from RNAcentral.